This is a non-coding RNA of Manis javanica (Malayan pangolin), 1157 nucleotides long. Lineage: Eukaryota; Metazoa; Chordata; Mammalia; Pholidota; Manidae. The record is from RefSeq and is a predicted model, not a curated record.
CUUAAAUUUAGGGCUUCCGUGUGUUGCUGCAGAGUUGCAUCAUUUAUGCCACCCUGCAAGCCAGUGCUAGCUGCUGGGUUAGGGUCUGACUUCCUGGCCCCGGGGGCACUCUUUGCCUCACCCCCUUUGCCUUCCCAAUGCAUUCACUGGGGCUCUUUCUUCCCCCAGGAGGGCCAGGUGCCCUGACCAAUAUCUCCCUUGUCUUAAAAGCCAUCAUGUAAUUGUUACUGGCUCAUCUUUAUCUGUACCCUAUGCCUGGGGAACAAAACCUCUCUGUCAAGAAUAAUCAAGCCCAGAUCCACACCACCACAAACACCCCAGGAAAUCAGGGUGGAUUUACCGGGUUCUCCAGAACCUGCAACUCAGAACAACUAUCCUUUCGUGACUUCCAUCUUCUAGAUCUGCAUGGGCCAAGUGUGUUGUGACAUUAGCUGCUUCUUCCAUGUUCAAGUAUGUUUAGCAAUCGCAUUAGUUAUGGAAAUCCUGGGUUAACCAUUGAUAAAUAUGCAUAUUUACUGCAGUAAUUAUCAGAGGUGUAAUGUGCAUUGUGAAUCUCCAAGAGACAGAUCAGGAUGGCACAUUUUCCAACUGUAGUUAACUAUCAAACCCUCUUAUCUAGGAACACCUCCCUGGAACGGUGUUCUCCGCACACACUUAUGAAAACCCCAACGUAGACACCUGUUAAAUUCAGUAAUUUAAUAUGGUGUCCAACACACAGUAGAAAAGGAUAUUGGAUGCAGAACUGUGGCUCUGGGUACUGGCAGAUUUAUCAGGUUUGCUGAAUGGCUGGUCACCGUGAGUCAAAUGCCAGCUUAAGACCCCAAAUAUUUAAAACCACAAUGAAGAUCUGGCCAAGGAAAGCCCAGCCCAGCCGAUCCAAGGGAUCCUGUUUCCCAGGGUUUUGGACAGCAAGUGUCCCUGGUGCUGGCCAAGUCCUUCAGGAGUCCAGAUGCUCACAUGGGGGCUUUUUGAGAUGCACCGUGCUGGGGGCCUUAACCCAGAGAGGCUGACACAUCGAGCAUGGAGCGGGCCAAAGAGCUCUUCAAAUACAAGCCAUCAAUUCCUUUCGUCAGUAAGACACGGCUGGGGGAAGAGCAGCUAGUGCAGAAAGAUUUAUCUUGGAAAACAAGAGGCACCUACCCUAUCCUCUCCAUUGC